RNAcentral lists this ribosomal RNA (497 nucleotides) under uncultured bacterium. RNAcentral's name for it is "partial 16S ribosomal RNA". It matches the Rfam family "Bacterial small subunit ribosomal RNA", at positions 28 to 507 of the family's 1533-position model. The record is from RNAcentral.
GACGAACGCUGGCGGCGUGCCUAAUACAUGCAAGUUGAGCGCUGAAGGUUGGUACUUGUCCCAACUGGAUGAGCAGCGAACGGGUGAGUAACGCGUGGGGAAUCUGCCUUUGAGCGGGGGACAACAUUUGGAAACGAAUGCUAAUACCGCAUAAAAACUUUAAACACAAGUUUUAAGUUUGAAAGAUGCAAUUGCAUCACUCAAAGAUGAUCCCGCGUUGUAUUAGCUAGUUGGUGAGGUAAAGGCUCACCAAGGCGAUGAUACAUAGCCGACCUGAGAGGGGGAUCGGCCACAUUGGGACUGAGACACGGCCCAAACUCCUACGGGAGGCAGCAGUAGGGAAUCUUAGGCAAGGGACGAAAGUCUGACCGAGCAACGCCGCGUGAGUGAAGAAGGGUUUCGGAUCGUAAAACUCUGUUGGUAGAGAAGAACGUUGGUGAGAGUGGAAAGCUCAUCAAGUGACGGUAACUACCCAGAAAGGGACGGCUAACUACGUG